ACCAACCCACGAGCAACACAGAGCAAAACCAAGUCUCAUGUCUUCAGCAAAGACGACCGAAGCAGGUCUCAGCACAUUCAGCCACUUCAAAUCAAGCCGCGCCACCCGACCGCGAGAACCGGAAACCCUAAAUUUCGAAUCAUCCAAUGGGCGGUGCUUCCUCUCUGCCUACAGAAAACAUCAAAUUAAAGUUACUCUCCCUUCCCGCGGAGUACCCAUUGCCACACACACCGCUCGGGAGCUUUACUUACUUCGGAACCUCCGAAUCGAAGUCCAAACAGAGAAGAGAGAUCGGAAAGCCGGGAAAUUUCGAGCAAGAAACAGAGCAAAAAAGCCGCGGAGGGGCGAACCCAAUCGCACAGAGCAAAGCGCCAAACGGAGGAAAGAGAGCCUACCCGCAAAAGGGUGUCCGCAGAUUGAUUCGGGAGCUCGACCCGGGAAGCCGCCGGCGAGGAUUGAGGAGGAGGACGGCGGCGGUGGCGUCCGACCGGGGAGCAAUGACGGGAGAGACGACUCUGGAACGCGGCCCUCGGGGGGAGGAAAACCCAGCUGCCGCCCGAUGUUCCGGGUCGGACCCGGGUUCCGUCACGGGUCGGGUCGGGUUGGGGGAGGACGAAUUGGUGUGUGAGCUCGUGUCGGGGGGGAGGGGGCUUUGAUCUUGCCGGAGCUUGGUCAGUAGAUUUGGCGUUCCCUCGAUCGCUGCUAAUCCUACGCUCCCCUGUCUGUCUGUCUGUCUCUCUCUUUCGCUUUCUCUCUCCUCUUCGCUUUCUCUCUCUUCGUUCUUGGUCGCUCUCCUAUGCUCGCAC
This 806-nucleotide long non-coding RNA is filed under the name Eucalyptus grandis. RNAcentral's name for it is "long non-coding RNA (EGRA_LNC007384)". Lineage: Eukaryota; Viridiplantae; Streptophyta; Magnoliopsida; Myrtales; Myrtaceae. The record is from RNAcentral.